UGGGGAAUAUUGGACAAUGGGGGCAACCCUGAUCCAGCAAUGCCGCGUGUGCGAAGAAGGCCUGCGGGUUGUAAAGCACUUUGAGUGGGGAAGAAAGGGGUAGUUCGAAUAGGGCUAUGAGAUGACGUUACCCACAGAACAAGCACCGGCUAACUCUGUGCCAGCAGCCGCGGUAAUACAGAGGGUGCAAGCGUUAAUCGGAAUUACUGGGCGUAAAGGGUGCGUAGGCGGUUUAUUAAGUUAGAUGUGAAAUCCCCGGGCUUAACCUGGGGUCGGCAUAUAAUACUGAUGAGCUAGAGUAGAAGAGAGGGGAGUGGAAUUUCCGAAGUAGCGGUGAAAUGCGUAGAGAUCGGAAAGAACACCAGUGGCGAAGGCGGCUCCCUGGCUUCAUACUGACGCU
RNAcentral lists this ribosomal RNA (400 nucleotides) under uncultured bacterium. RNAcentral describes it as "bacterial SSU rRNA". It matches the Rfam family "Bacterial small subunit ribosomal RNA", at positions 355 to 747 of the family's 1533-position model. The record is from RNAcentral.